GUGAGGAAUUUUCCGCAAUGGGCGAAAGCCUGACGGAGCAAUGCCGCGUGAAGGAUGAAGGCCUAUGGGUUGUAAACUUCUUUUCUCAGAAAAGAAUUAUGACGGUAUCUGAGGAAUAAGCAUCGGCUAACUCUGUGCCAGCAGCCGCGGUAAGACAGAGGAUGCAAGCGUUAUCCGGAAUGAUUGGGCGUAAAGCGUCUGUAGGUUGUUUAAAAAGUAUUCUGUCAAAGAUUAGGGCUUAACCCUAGAUAGGCAGAAUAAACUUUUAAGCUAGAGUUUGGUAGAGGCAGAGGGAAUUCCCGGUGGAGCGGUGAAAUGCGUAGAGAUCGGGAGGAACACCAGUGGCGAAGGCGACUUACUGGACUGUAACUGACGCUGAGGCGCGAAAGUGUGGGGAGCAAACAGGAUUAGAUACCCGGGUAGUCC
Molecule: ribosomal RNA, 426 nt
Filed under: uncultured bacterium
Lineage: Bacteria
Description: partial 16S ribosomal RNA
Rfam family: Bacterial small subunit ribosomal RNA
Source: RNAcentral